This 661-nucleotide ribosomal RNA is filed under the name Russula cerolens. RNAcentral's name for it is "eukaryotic LSU rRNA". The stretch from base 218 to 371 matches the Rfam family "5.8S ribosomal RNA". The record is from RNAcentral. Lineage: Eukaryota; Fungi; Basidiomycota; Agaricomycetes; Russulales; Russulaceae.
AUAUUGGUUAUGGACGUGCUGGGGUUGUCGCUGACCUUUGAAAGGGUCGUGCACGCCUCGGUGCUUUCACACAUAAUCCAUCUCACCCCUUUUGUGCAUCACCGCGUGGGGGCCCCUUUUAGCUAGGUCUGAAGGGGGCUUUCACGUUUUUACAAACACACCCUUUUAAUGCAAUAUGUAGAAUGUCUUACUUUUUGCGAUGACACGCAAUCAAUACAACUUUCAACAACGGAUCUCUUGGCUCUCGCAUCGAUGAAGAACGCAGCGAAAUGCGAUACGUAAUGUGAAUUGCAGAAUUCAGUGAAUCAUCGAAUCUUUGAACGCACCUUGCGCCCUUUGGCAUUCCGAAGGGCACACCCGUUUGAGUGUCGUGACAUCCUCAAACCUUCUUGGUUUCUUGACCGAGAAGGCUUUGGACUUUGGAGGCUUUUGCUGGACCUUCCCUUGUUGAAGCCAGCUCCUCUUAAAUGAAUUAGUGGGGUCUGCUUUGCUGAUCCUUGACGUGAUAAGAUGCUUCUACGUCUUGGGUUUUGCACUGUUUGCUCUAGAUCCUGCUUCUAACCGUCUCAUAGAAGACAAAUGGUCGACAUUGACCCACAAACCUUGACCUCAAAUCGGGUGAGACUACCCGCUGAACUUAAGCAUAUCAAUAAGCGGAGGA